Molecule: long non-coding RNA, 127 nt
Filed under: Capra hircus (goat)
Lineage: Eukaryota; Metazoa; Chordata; Mammalia; Artiodactyla; Bovidae
Description: lncRNA (ENSCHIG00010011131.1)
Source: RNAcentral
CCCGAGGACUCGGCCGGCAGUCACACCGGCGGUCCGGCCGAAGCGUGCAGACCCGACCGUCACCCUGGCAUGCAGGAGACGAGCUUCCACGAGCUUUUGCUGGAAGAUGUUGACAUGCUGCAGCCGC